AAAACAUCUUUCGUGACGCUCUGAAAGAUUUCAGAGGAUGGCUUGAUUUCAGGCUAUUGUAAUUCGUUGGAGGAGGUAAAACAAAGCAUUUCUUCAAGCAAAUGCAGGAACAUGUCCCUAUCCCCUUUUUUGGUUGUGCAUUUGCAGUGGAGAGUGUGUGGUCAAGGCACUGUGUUUUGGGGCCGAAAUACUAUAAAAGUAAAGAGUCUAGUGUACCUGAGCACUUGGAAGACCAUGUGACUCCUCGUAAGAGAUUGAGGAUCAUGGAUACUGGAAAAUCCAACUGCCCAACAACUUUAAAUAUGAAGUGUAUAAGGGUGUAUCCUGAUUACAGUAUGCACUCAGCAACUGAACACAGGGAUACCAAGGCAAAAGUUCUUGCAAGUCUACAGAAAGAUUUGGCAUUGCCAUGCCCGCCGAAGGGCUACCUACGUUAUUAUUUGACUGCUUCUCCAGCAAGUGCGCACACACACAUGCUACUGAAAGUGUUGAAGCAAGUGGGUACAUACAUCCUUCACUUGUAAAGGAAAUCAAAAACUUAGUAACUCAGUGGAAUGACAUCUCUCAAAGUCAUUAAGUUGGCUCUAGAUAGAUUUGUUGAAAUCAAUUUCAUUGGGACACACAUACCAGGUCAAAUGAAUACUACCUUUUACCCCACAGAGAAAACUAUUUACAGUCACAUUUAUCGGACCCUUUAUAGUACGAAUAAAGUAUUGUUUGACGAGACUAGACUGCAGAAUCAGGUUGAUGAGUGGCACAAAGACUCGAGCAAUCACAUGAUUUAUUAUAGGCAUUGUAUGGAAGCCAAUGGAGAAGUGAAACCAUUACUUUUUUGCUAUCAGAGCAGUUGGCAGAGAGAUCUUUUGAAGAAGUAUGGGGGUAGUUGUUUGUUAGAUGCAACAUACAAAACAUCAUAUGAUAUUCCUUUAUUUUUUAUAGCUGUGAAGAGUAAUGUGGGCUAUUUGGUUGUCGGUUUUUUUCAUUCAGAUUGAAAAUGCAAGAUCCAUUCAUGAAGCACUAGACAUUUUCAAGGACUGGAACAAGGAUUGGAAUCCCCUCUAUUGGGUUACCGAUUUCUCGGAGUCGGAGAUAAAUGCAAUUGAGCAAGCAUUCCCUCAGACAAAAGUUUACUUGUGCCUUUUCCAUCCAAAACAGGCAUGGGGAAGAUGGUUGAAAAAAAGGAUAAUCUACGUGUACCAAAUGACAUGAAGAGAUUUCUGGACAUGUGGCAAGAAAUUUCAGAAUCAUCAACAGAGAGAGAAUUUAGAGAUCACGUAGAAGAGUUGCGAACGCACGAGGUUUCUCGGAGAAACGAGCGUGCGUGGCCAUACUUUCAACAGCAGUGGCUAACGGUAUGUGAAAGAUGGGUGAAAGCGUAUGAGGACAAGGGCAGAUUUGCAACCAUUGACACUACAAAUGGAGUUGAAGCCAUGAACAAGGUUGUAAAACAUUUUUUCCUUAAACACAAUUCAGACAGGACUUUAACUGGGGUUACUAAGGUUAUAAUAAACCAGUUUCUUCCAAGCCUAAUUAGAAAGUACUGUCUGCAGAAUUCUGCCAUCAAAGCUUAUAACAAAGAUGUUCCACUGUUUUUGCAUAAAAAACAAACAAGUUUGUGAAACAUGUCAUGCAGCGAUAUGAAUCAGCGAAAGUUGAGUUAACUGCAAAAUCAGUGAGUGGGAGAUUGGAUGGUUCAUUUUGUGUGGAGAGUGCAAAGUCCAAAAAGUGUAGUUAUGUUGUAAACUUUGAUAUACCAGAUUGCACAUGUGUAGAUUUUCGGAGAUAUAAAUACCCAUGCAAGCACUUCUGUGCAAUCUUUAUUUUUUACCCAGAGUGGGGUUUUGAUAAAAUGCCAGAAAGUUAUGAGACUAGUCCAUUAAUCUGUCUUGAUGAAAUGUAUGGUGUGGGCUUUAGAAGUGGCUCUUUAGUAAUUUCAUGCGAAGGUAGUAGUACUGAUGAAGCAGCUGAGGAGGCUGUCAAGGCAGCAAAUACAGAUGGUCUUGUUCAAACCCAGAAUAUUUCUUCGCAGCAGUUUGAAGCGAGGGAGCUGUGUAAACAGAUUUAUAAUCUCACAUACAACUGCAGCAACAGCGAAACAUUACAAAAAGUACUUGAAUCACUGAGCAACU
Schistocerca cancellata (South American locust) is the source of this 2129-nucleotide RNA transcript. RefSeq lists it as uncharacterized. The record is from RefSeq and is a predicted model, not a curated record. NCBI's taxonomy places the organism in Eukaryota, Metazoa, Arthropoda, Insecta, Orthoptera, Acrididae. The transcript has 4 exons.